GAUGUUUACACACUCUGAAACCAUUGACUACACCCCACCUAUCAAAAGCAAAACUGCAAGAGAAAAAUAUAAACAAACAAUACUUCGAGAAAUACCAGAAAUCCUUUUCCUGGACCACUACAAAGAUGGAAGGUCCAGCAAUUUAAUCUUCUGGACUGAUGAACCAUAUGCCUGGCUGAAUGUGUUCAGCUCUCAUUACCCAGCAAUAAAGAGAGCAGGCAUUUGUAAUGGAUGGAAAAUAUGUGUACUGGAAGAAAAUUUCUGACACCAGCAGAAUAAACCUAUUCAAAAAUGGAACUGCCAUGAUACAAGGUAACCUGAGACAGUCUGAGCUAGACUUUCCUGCUAUGAGACUGAGGAGGUCCUGUUCUGUCCCUGCUCCUGACAGACGCUGACACAGAUCAUCCCCUGGUACAGCACUUUGAGGACCUGGACGAGAGAAUACUUCUCCCAGAUGGAUAUAGACCUGGUACAGAUCAGAGAGCAGCUGGACCAACAGCAGCCUACUUCUCCUACUGUCAGUGACUUCCAGGCCAAGAAAGAACAGGACAAUGUCAACUCACAGCUGAGAGAGUUUCAACAAGAACUAGCUCAGAGAAGACAGCUGGAUCAUCUCAGUGAGGAGGUGAAGGAACUUAGGAAGGACAGAGACAACUGCAGAACUGAGUUGGCUAUACUGAGAGAAGAGCUACCGGACAGGGACAGGCUAAGUCUACAAGCCAGACUGAACUCCACACAACCCCCUGUGCUCGCCUCUCAGAUCCAGACCACAUCCAGCCAAACUCCCACUACACCUGCUGACGGAGAAAACAGCCUUUUCCUCGAAGACCCCUCCCCCUCUCACCCAGCCUGGUGCAGACUCUAAUCCUCCCCCUGUACCAUUAAGCUGCCUCAAUACACAUCCCAAGCCAAGAUGCCAGUCACAACCUUGCACCCGUCCAAGGCCCAGCCUCUAGCCAGCCUCCAGCCAGGAGCUCCAGACCUGAAACCACCACCACAGCUCCACAUCCAGACCCGACAGCUGAGUCUGAACAAACACACACAGGCAGAAGGGCUGACAUUAUCCUCCUCAUGGACUCUAACAGAAAGUUCCUGGAUGAAAAGACCUUAUUCCAAAGACAGAGAAGAUCUGGUGCCCCAAUACCAGGAGAGCCCUGGAGCUGUUAACAGUGCCUGAGCUAGGCUUACCUAGCCACAUCAUUAUUCAUACAGGCACCGACGACUUAAGGUCCCAACAGGACAGACUAGCAGAAUCCCUGAGGAGAGUCACUGAACAAGCCUCCACCAAUUUCCCUACCAGCAAGAUAGUCAUCUACGCUGCUGCACAGGAGAGACUUCCACCCCGACACCAUUCACAGAGUGAAUAUCAGCCUCUCCAGGAACUAUGCCCUCAAACCCAACGUGUUCUUGGCCCACCAUCCGACCCUCCACUUGGACUGCCUGUAUGAUAACACACCUACACAGAAAUGCAGUCCCCACCCUUGCUAGGACCCUGAAGGAUGUUGCUCUUGGAAGGAGCCUCACUACCACUCCAAGGGGUAACCACACAACGCAGACCUCCAGGACCUCUUAGACCUUCAAGACCAUCCAGACCUCCACCAUGCAUCUACCCCUGGCUGUCAGAGAGGACAGCCUAUUGGACUGAACUAUGCUGCAGCGGUGAGGCGAGCCACAGCCCUGCCCCCCCUCUGGUCAAAAACGCCAUCCCAAAAGCUGCCGAAAAGAAACUGCACGAUCUGGAGCCAGGGAACUGGAUCAUGGUGAAGGACUUCAGGAGAAAGAAUUAGUGGGCUCGCAGGUGGACUGGGCCAUUUCAGAUACUGCUAAGAACAGAAACAGCAGUAAAGGUGGCUGAAAGAGCAACUUGGAUUCAUGCCACCCACUGCAAACGAGUGCCAAAGCAACCAAAAGGCCUCAGACCAGGUGAAGAUGGAGAUCAGUGAGUGAGACCUCUGCUGCCUCGUGCCCCCUCGCCUCGCCAGUCACACUCCUGGAUCCACAAGCUCUUUAGCUUCCCAGCCUGGUCUUCCCUACCCUUGCCUAGUUAUUGUUUUUGUUAUCAAGAAUAAACCCUUUUUUU
Micropterus dolomieu (smallmouth bass) is the source of this 2080-nucleotide long non-coding RNA. RefSeq lists it as uncharacterized. NCBI's taxonomy places the organism in Eukaryota, Metazoa, Chordata, Actinopteri, Centrarchiformes, Centrarchidae. The record is from RefSeq and is a predicted model, not a curated record. The transcript is spliced from 3 exons.